This 59-nucleotide microRNA precursor is filed under the name Limulus polyphemus (Atlantic horseshoe crab). Its description in RNAcentral is "Lpo-Mir-87-P2c_pre stem-loop". Lineage: Eukaryota; Metazoa; Arthropoda; Merostomata; Xiphosura; Limulidae. The record is from RNAcentral.
CCACCUGAAAGCUUGUCUCAACCUUUGACUUGAAGAGGUGAGCAAAGUUUCAGGUGUGU